CAAGGUUGAUGAGUCGGUUUCUC
RNAcentral lists this non-coding RNA (23 nucleotides) under Arabidopsis thaliana (thale cress). The record is from RNAcentral. Lineage: Eukaryota; Viridiplantae; Streptophyta; Magnoliopsida; Brassicales; Brassicaceae.